AGCCCCAAUCCAAUGCUUCCCUACGUCCAAGGCCUCCAAGCCCCAUCUCUUCCAAAAUCUAUUCCUUCCCUUGCCUCGCUCGACCGCCUUGAUAUCUACCCGAAGCCAGCGAUCGCUCUACAGCCUCUUAUCCACAAUUCUCUAUGCAUACCUCGCUCUGUUUCUCCUCCUUCGAUGCCCUAGCCUUUCCGUCGCCGGAACCCUAACCGGCUAUUCACCGCCGGCGAAUUCUCCGGCGAGAAUCAUUCGAGUUGUUUCUCUAGGGUUUUUCCAUUUGAUUCGAUUCUACAAUUUGAUUGGUGCUUUUUCUUCUCUUGAUUAAGGUCUCUUUAUUUCUACCACCGCUGUCCUUUUUUCCGUGCUUUUGUAAUCGACAAGAGUAAGGACAACAGUAACGCAUAUGGCACCGGGGCGUAAAAAAGGAGCGAACAAGGCUAAGGCUAAGAAUCAAUUGAGUUUGGGGGAUCUCGUUCUUGCUAAAGUCAAGGGGUUCCCUGCUUGGCCUGCCAAGAUAAGCCGCCCAGAAGAUUGGGACCGAGCCCCCGAUCCUAAGAAAUAUUUUGUCCAGUUUUUUGGAACUGAAGAAAUAGCGUUUGUUGCACCUACUGAUAUUCAGGUAUUUACAAGUGAAUUGAUGAAUAAAUUGUCAGCUCGAUGUCAAGGUAAAACUAAGUAUUUUGCCCAAGCUGUGAAGGAAAUUUCUGCAGCAUUUCAAGAAUUACAGAAGGAAAAGUCAAGUGGUAUUCGCGGUACUGAUAGAGCAGCACGUGGCUGUGAUGCUGCAUCUGUUGAUGGAAUAGAAGAUGAGAUGGUUCUUGAAUCAAAUAAUGACUUGGGGACAAGUGGAACCAAAAGAGAAACAGGGGAUGAGGAAGGUGAUUUUGGUUCCAAAUUGAAGCAUUGUUCACAUAGACUAAGCCAGACUGAAUAUGAUUUAAGGCCUUCUGUCUCAGCUGAUGUAAAUGAUAAUUCAUUUAUCUCAUUGGAGGAGAAAGUUAAAAUAUCCAAUGGUGAGCAGAUGCAGGUAGUAUUGUCUACAUCUUGUUUGGAUGAUCCUUCACAUGCAAAGGAUGGAGAGUCUGGUGAUGUACAUGAAGAUGUUACUUGUGCAAAGAGCCCUGGAAUUGCUGAGAGGGCUUGGGCAAAUGGUCAUAAGUCCAAGAGUAUGGCUAUGGAAACAAAGAGGAAACCUGAAGUUGCUAUUAAGGGGCAUAAAAACAAUAGUCCUGGGAGCUGUGUCACUUUCCUCCCUGAUAAUGGCAAAGAAGAGAAAGAUGGGAUGAAAGAAAAAAAUGCUUCUGGUGGCACCAUUAGCGGGUUUUCUCCUGAUGCUAUUAAACCAGUUUCUGAAGAUGUUAAAUCAGAUUUUGAAAUCAGACAAAAAAAAGCAAAUGAACAUGAAAAAGGCAAAAAAAGUUCUAUGGUGCCUGAUUGUAUGCAGGAAAAUAUAUUGAAUUCCAUUGAUGAGAUCUCUGAUAAGAAAAAGAGGGCCCAAUCUGCACUUGGAAAAGCAAGUGAAGCUUUACAUCCUGUGAAAAGGCCUAAGCAUUUAGGUGUGGGGGAUGCAGCUGCUAAGGAAUCUAUCACAGAAAGUGUUAGGAGUGAUUCUCCAAGUUCCAAUGCAGUCAACCAGUCCAAAUCACAGGAAAAAAGAGAAAUCCUUUUGGCAUUAGGAGCCCAAACAGGAAAAGGGAAAUUUGGUGGUUCUGCUCAAGUGGCAAAAAAUAAAUCUGAUGUUUCUUCCAGAACAGGCAAAGUUAAACCCGAUGUCUCCAUACAAAUGUGUAAAGCUAAAUCUGAUGUUGCUACAUUAGCUGGCAAAGUUAAAUCUGAUGCAUCUGCCCAAAUGAGUAAAGCUAAAUCUGAUGUUUCUGCUCAAGCAGGAAAAGUUAAAUCUGAUGUUUCUAGUGAUGAAGCUGUGCUGCCUGUAUCAAAACGUCGUAGGCGGGCCAUGGAGGCAAUGUCUGACUCUGCUUCACUUAAUUCCAAUGAUAAGACUGAAAAAGGUUCUGUGGAGCUGAAGAUUGACUCAACUUCUAAUAAUGCUAGAGUUCCGGUUAAUCAAGUGCCCAAAAGAAGGAGAGCUGUUUGUCUCUAUGAUGAUGAUGAUGAUGAAGGGGAAGAGCCCAAAACUCCAAUUCAUGGAGGAUCCACCAAAAGUGAUAGAGCACUUCCAUCUGUUUUGGACACUUCUACAAGAACUGACCCAUGUUUUGUGGGUUCCAUUAAUAAUCAGCAGGGAAGCUCUGUUAAUGUUCAGGCAAGCGUUGAAGGCUCUGUCAGAUUUGAGAAAAGCAGUUCAAGGGAAUUAUCUUCACAAUUGCGUGAUGAAUCUCUUUCACCUAGCCGUCUGAAAAGUGUGAAGAGGCCUGAUACUUGUGACUCCAAAUUAAUGUUGAGUUCCCCCAAGAGGUCUCCUCAUUCGCUUCCUGUCACCAGACCAGCUGUGGAACAACAUAAAGCUUCAAAACCUUUAUCUAAAGCCUCCAAUGGCAGUUCUCUGAAAAAAGCCCAGUCUGGGUCAACAAAAGUUUUGGGUUUGGUUCCUGAUAGUUUGCACUCUUCUCAAAAUAAUGUGAUGAGUCAAAGAAAUAGACCAAGUAUAUCUGGAGAAAGACCUAAAAAUACUCCAAAAGCACGAAUGAGCGAGCCUGCUGUUUUAACAGAACCAUCAACAGAACAGGAAGGCGGUACAGAAGGUAGAGACAUUGCAUUGGUUGAUUCUAAGACUCCAGAUUCUGUUAUGUCCAUGAAACACCUUAUUGCAGCUGCUCAAGCCAAGAGGAGAGAAGCUCACUCACAACAUUUCUCUCUUGGAAACCAUAAUUCUUUUAUAUCCAUCAGUGAUCCACAGGGAAUAAGUCCCACUCCCUCAUCAGUCCAACCUUUUUUAUCUGGCACCAGCACUGCAUUACAUAUUGAUCUACAGGGCUUUCAACAACGCACAAAUGUAGUUUCUCCUUCUACUCAUGGUCAUCAAUCAGCAUCACACAACCAAGUGGAAGCUGAAGAAAUUGAUGAGCAAAGAGUUAGUUCUGGACACAGGGGUGUUGGAGGCUCUCUAAGUGGUGGAACUGAGGCUGCUGUAGCUCGUGAUGCUUUUGAGGGGAUGAUAGAGACUUUAUCAAGGACAAAAGAAAGUAUUGGGCGUGCAACUCGGCUUGCCAUUGACUGUGCGAAGUAUGGCAUUGCCAAUGAGGUGGUGGAGCUGCUAAUCCGGAAAUUGGAAACUGAGCCCAGUUCCCAUCGUAAAGUGGACCUCUUUUUUCUUGUUGAUUCAAUUACGCAGUGUUCACAUAAUCAAAAAGGUAUUGCUGGAGCUUCAUAUAUUCCAACAGUUCAAGCAGCAUUACCUCGACUUCUGGGUGGUGCUGCCCCUCCAGGAACUGGUUCUCGUGAAAACCGUCGUCAGUGUCUCAAGGUUUUACGCCUGUGGCUUGAGAGAAAAAUUUUACCUGAUUCCGUUUUGAGGCGCUGUAUGGAUGAUAUUGGAGGUUCACAUGAUGAUUCCUCUGCUGGAUUGUCCCUUAGACGUCCAUCUCGAGCUGAGCGAGCUGUAGAUGAUCCCAUCAGAGAAAUGGAAGGCAUGCUUGUAGAUGAAUAUGGCAGCAAUGCUACAUUUCAGUUGCCUGGAUUUUUGUGUUCCAAUGUGUUUGAAGAUGAAGAUGAGGAAGAUGGUCUUCCUGGAAGUUCAUUGAAGGAAGAUGGUGAUGUGCCAUCACUAGAAGAAACCCCUCGUACUUUAGUAGAGUCAGAAACAUGUACUGUUACUCCAAAUGACAGGCGUCAUUGCAUCUUAGAGGAUGUGGAUGGUGAACUUGAAAUGGAAGAUGUGUCUGGACACCAAAAGGAUGAAAAACAGCUGUUCACAAGUUCUUUUGAAGUGGAUGCUCCACAGCAUUGCUCAGAUGCGUUUUUGGAGCCUGCAGUCACUGAAUCUAUUGAGCUGCCCCCUCUGCCAGAGGGUUCUCCACCAUUGCCUCCUGAUUCUCCUCCCCCACCCCCACCUUUACCUCCCUCACCACCACCGCUCCCCCCGCCUCCACCCCCAACAUCUCCAUCACCGCCACCACCUCCUCCAUCACAGCCACCUCCUCCUCCUGUACCACCUUUGGGCCCUCCACAAUCAUUGGCACCUCAACAGUUAGCACUGACUCAACCAACCUUGGUGUCGCAGCCAAUUCUACCAUCGGUGUCAUCAUUUCAGUCCUCACCACAGUUGGCAUAUCCACAAACAGUAACUCAUGAAUAUUGCAGUACAUCCAGUGGCAAUCAGCUUGCUCAAAUGUCCGGAAAUAUUCAUGGGAAUCACAUGGAUGCGGGUGUAAAAAAUGAAUUGUUUACACAGCAGUCACCUCGAUUCACACCUACAGCAGUCUGCAGUUCUAGAGAACCUUCAGGAUAUAAUCCUUCAAGGCAGUUGGAUUAUGGACAUAAUGAUCUGUACUCGAAUAACCAACCUUCUCAACAAAACCCCCAUUUUCAAACAGGAAAUGUUCCUUUUUCACAAAGACCUUUGCACCCAGCCUUGCCUCAAACUGCAUCUGGUCAAUUUUCUUUUGCAAAGCCUGCUAUUCAGCAGCAUCCUCAGCCUGCAAUGCAGCAACAUCCUCAGCCUAUGCAGCAACAUCCUCAGCAUCCUUUUCCUCAUCCAUAUGCUAUCCAUUCUCAUCCUGAUGAACGAAGGCGAGUUGUUGGUGAUGAACUUUGGAGGAUGCCAUCAAGUGAAUUUAACAUAGAUAAUCAGCAUGGCACUUGGAUGAGUGGAAGAAAUCCUUCACAUUCAGCUCCUUCUUUUGGGCAGGAAGGUUACUUUCGGCCACCCCUUGAAAGGCCACCUACUAAUAAUAUGGGUUUUCAGCCUAAUAAUUUACCAGCUGGAGCUCCUAUACCAGGUCAUGGUGUUUCACAUAUGGUGCCGUGUAGACCGGACAUGUCUGCCCUUAAUUGUUGGAGACCAGCAUAAGAACUAGACAGAAGCUUUCUUAAUGCUGCAUGCAGGAAAACAUUUGUGAAUUCACUUUGUAUUACACCUUAAGAAGGUUCGACUUCUGGACAAGAUACAACUGGCAUUUGAAGGCUGUGUUUGGCCCUUGUGGAAGCUAUUGGCAGGACUGUCUAUAUUGUAAUAUUUCCUGACAAUGUUUCCCUGGAACAUUUUCUCCGAGUGUAGGCCCAUGUUUCUGACUUGGUUGGGGAAAACAUUAGUAAAAAAUUGCUGUCAUUUGUGGUGUUUCAUCGUGGUACACACUGAAGAAUAAGAUUCUCUGGCAGUCAAAUUCUGCAAAAAUGUUGAGGUAAAUAUUUGUCAUGGAUUUCCAAGUCAGACAACACUCAUAAUUUCCCUUUUUUGAGAUAGAAAUUAGCCUUCUUGCUAGAAUAUCUAAAGGAAAAGUUUCGGCAAAAUGCUUCAUUUUUUAAAAAAGAAAAAAAAAUAGCAGCAAUGUUUACUAAUUAUCAUGUCCUUGUGAAUGUCCUAAUGUACAAUUUAACACAUUCCUUCUUAUAAAUUGUAUUCACUAAGUUUAAUUUUCCAGUGUGUGUGUGUAUAUGGUCUA
Manihot esculenta (cassava) is the source of this 5558-nucleotide RNA transcript. It is a transcript of the gene named ENHANCER OF AG-4 protein 2, with no coding region annotated. NCBI's taxonomy places the organism in Eukaryota, Viridiplantae, Streptophyta, Magnoliopsida, Malpighiales, Euphorbiaceae. The transcript is spliced from 13 exons. The record is from RefSeq and is a predicted model, not a curated record.